Molecule: ribosomal RNA, 484 nt
Filed under: uncultured bacterium
Lineage: Bacteria
Description: bacterial SSU rRNA
Rfam family: Bacterial small subunit ribosomal RNA
Source: RNAcentral
GAGAUUUUCGCAAUGCCCGAAAGGGUGACGAAGCGACGCCGCGUGCGGGAAGAAGGCCUUCGGGUUGUAAACCGCUGUCGGGAGUUAAGAAAUGUAAGGAUGUUAAUAGCAUCUUCGCUUGACUAAGGCUCCGGAGGAAGCCACGGCUAACUCUGUGCCAGCAGCCGCGGUAAUACAGAGGCGGCAAGCGUUGUUCGGAAUUAUUGGGCGUAAAGAGCACGUAGGCGGCUAUGUAAGUCGGUUGUGAAAGCCUUCCGCUCAACGGGAGAACAGCAUCCGAUACUGCAUGGCUUGAGUGCGGGAGGGGAGAGUGGAACUUCUGGUGGAGCGGUGAAAUGCGUAGAUAUCAGAAGGAACGCCGGCGGCGAAAGCGGCUCUCUGGCCCAUAACUGACGCUGAGUGUGCGAAAGCUAGGGGAGCAAACGGGAUUAGAUACCCCGGUAGUCCUAGCCGUAAACGAUGGGCACUAAGUAGAGGGGUUUUA